Molecule: transfer RNA, 73 nt
Filed under: Salmo salar (Atlantic salmon)
Lineage: Eukaryota; Metazoa; Chordata; Actinopteri; Salmoniformes; Salmonidae
Rfam family: tRNA
About the family: Transfer RNA (tRNA) molecules are approximately 80 nucleotides in length. Their secondary structure includes four short double-helical elements and three loops (D, anti-codon, and T loops).
Source: Rfam by way of RNAcentral
ACCCCUGUAGCUCAGUUGGUAGAGCAUGGUGUGUGCAACGCCAGGGUUGUGGGUUCGUUUCCCACGGGGGGCC